This 87-nucleotide transfer RNA is filed under the name Verrucomicrobiota bacterium. Its description in RNAcentral is "Verrucomicrobia bacterium tRNA-Ser". It matches the Rfam family "tRNA". From Rfam's summary of the family: Transfer RNA (tRNA) molecules are approximately 80 nucleotides in length. Their secondary structure includes four short double-helical elements and three loops (D, anti-codon, and T loops). The record is from RNAcentral. Lineage: Bacteria; Pseudomonadati; Verrucomicrobiota.
GGUCAGGUGGCUGAGAGGUCGAAAGCACAUCUUUGCUAAAGAUGCGUACUCGGAAGGGUACCGUGGGUUCGAAUCCCACCCUGACCG